Molecule: ribosomal RNA, 513 nt
Filed under: uncultured bacterium
Lineage: Bacteria
Description: bacterial SSU rRNA
Rfam family: Bacterial small subunit ribosomal RNA
Source: RNAcentral
UUGGGUUUAAAGGGUGCGUAGGCGGCCUGUUAAGUCAGCGGUGAAAUCUAGGGGCUUAACUCCUAAAUUGCCAUUGAUACUGGUGGGCUUGAGUGUAGAUGAGGUAGGCGGAAUGCGUGGUGUAGCGGUGGAAUGCAUAGAUAUCACGCAGAACUCCAAUUGCGAAGGCAGCUUACUAAGGUACAACUGACGCUGAAGCACGAAAGCGUGGGUAUCAAACAGGAUUAGAUACCCUGGUAGUCCACGCAGUAAACGAUGAUAACUGGGCGUAUGCGAUAUACAGUAUGCUCCUAAGCGAAAGCGUUAAGUUAUCCACCUGGGGAGUACGCCGGCAACGGUGAAACUCAAAGGAAUUGACGGGGGCCCGCACAAGCGGAGGAACAUGUGGUUUAAUUCGAUGAUACGCGAGGAACCUUACCCGGGAUUGAAAUGUAGAUGACAGGCGGUGAAAGCUGCUCUCCCUUCGGGGCAUCUAUGUAGGUGCUGCAUGGUUGUCGUCAGCUCGUGUCGUGA